Molecule: ribosomal RNA, 253 nt
Filed under: uncultured bacterium
Lineage: Bacteria
Description: partial 16S ribosomal RNA
Rfam family: Bacterial small subunit ribosomal RNA
Source: RNAcentral
UACAGAGGGUGCGAGCGUUAAUCGGAAUUACUGGGCGUAAAGCGUGCGUAGACGGCUAUCUAAGUCGGGUGUGAAAGCCCCGGGCUCAACCUGGGAAUUGCAUUCGAGACUGAAUAGCUAGGGUACGGUAGAGGGAAGUGGAAUUUCCGGUGUAGCGGCGAAAUGCGUAGAUAUCGGAAGGAACAUCAGUGGCGAAAGCGACUUCCUGGACCAGUACCGACGUUCAGGCACGAAAGCGUGGGGAGCAAACAGG